This 384-nucleotide ribosomal RNA is filed under the name uncultured fungus. Its description in RNAcentral is "eukaryotic LSU rRNA". The stretch from base 74 to 227 matches the Rfam family "5.8S ribosomal RNA". The record is from RNAcentral. Lineage: Eukaryota; Fungi.
GGCGCCCGCCGGAGGGACCACAAACUCUUGUAUCUGGAUGCAUUGCUCUGAGUAAACAAGCAAAAUGAAUCAAAACUUUCAACAACGGAUCUCUUGGUUCUGGCAUCGAUGAAGAACGCAGCGAAAUGCGAUAAGUAAUGUGAAUUGCAGAAUUCAGUGAAUCAUCGAAUCUUUGAACGCACAUUGCGCCCGCCAGUAUUCUGGCGGGCAUGCCUGUUCGAGCGUCAUUUCAACCCUCGGGCCCCCCCUUCGGGGACGGGCGCGGUGUUGGGGGUCCGGCCUUGGCCGCCCCCGAAAUGCAGUGGCGACCCCGCCGCGGCCUCUCCUGCGCAGUAAGCAAACGCUCGCAACGAGGGACCCGGAGGACGAGUCCGCCGUAAAACG